This 468-nucleotide ribosomal RNA is filed under the name uncultured bacterium. RNAcentral describes it as "partial 16S ribosomal RNA". It matches the Rfam family "Bacterial small subunit ribosomal RNA", at positions 28 to 507 of the family's 1533-position model. The record is from RNAcentral.
GACGAACGCUGGCGGCGUGCUUAACACAUGCAAGUCGAACGGAAAGGCCCUGCUUUUGUGGGGUGCUCGAGUGGCGAACGGGUGAGUAACACGUGAGUAACCUGCCCUUGACUUUGGGAUAACUUCAGGAAACUGGGGCUAAUACCGGAUAGGAGCUCCUGCUGCAUGGUGGGGGUUGGAAAGUUUCGGCGGUUGGGGAUGGACUCGCGGCUUAUCAGCUUGUUGGUGGGGUAGUGGCUUACCAAGGCUUUGACGGGUAGCCGGCCUGAGAGGGUGACCGGCCACAUUGGGACUGAGAUACGGCCCAGACUCCUACUGGAGGCAGCAGUGGGGAAUAUUGCACAAUGGGCGGAAGCCUGAUGCAGCAACGCCGCGUGCGGGAUGACGGCCUUCGGGUUGUAAACCGCUUUCGACUGUGACGAAGCGUGAGUGACGGUAAUGGGUAAAGAAGCACCGGCUAACUACGUG